This 70-nucleotide transfer RNA is filed under the name Dipturus kwangtungensis (Kwangtung skate). RNAcentral's name for it is "tRNA-Arg". The record is from RNAcentral. Lineage: Eukaryota; Metazoa; Chordata; Chondrichthyes; Rajiformes; Rajidae.
AGGCACUUAGUCCAAAAAAAGACCAUUAAUUUCGACUUAAUAAAUUAUGGUGAAAACCCAUAAGUGCCUU